RNAcentral lists this ribosomal RNA (372 nucleotides) under uncultured organism. RNAcentral's name for it is "bacterial SSU rRNA". It matches the Rfam family "Bacterial small subunit ribosomal RNA", at positions 526 to 896 of the family's 1533-position model. The record is from RNAcentral.
CGGAGGGGCGUAGCGGUUGUUACGGAAUUACUGGGCGUAAAGCGUGCGUAGGCGGCCUUUCAAGUUGGGUGUGAAAGCCCGGGGCUUAACCCCGGAAAUGCGCCCAAGACUGUUUGGCUAGAGACCGGGAGAGGUGUGUGGAACUCCCAGUGUAGAGGUGAAAUUCGUAGAUAUUGGGAAGAACACCAGUGGCGAAGGCGGCUCACUGGACCGGUACUGACGCUGAGGCACGAAAGCGUGGGGAGCAAACAGGAUUAGAUACCCUGGUAGUCCACGCCGUAAACUAUGAGAGCUAGACGUUGGGGGGCUUGCCCCUCUGUGUCGCAGCUAACGCGUGAAGCUCUCCGCCUGGGGAGUACGGCCGCAAGGUUA